Molecule: long non-coding RNA, 315 nt
Organism: Nerophis ophidion (straightnose pipefish)
Lineage: Eukaryota; Metazoa; Chordata; Actinopteri; Syngnathiformes; Syngnathidae
Exons: 3
Source: RefSeq, a predicted model, not a curated record
AGGUUCCGGUGAGAAAAUUGUGGUAAUAAGUCGGCUCUUGCGUCCUCCUGCAGCUGCGGAGACUCUUACCUCCUCCCACGGGAGACACUGGCGGUCUCCACACCCCUCCGACUUUCAGGAUUCUGGACAUCUGAGUUGCUGAAUCUUUUGCAAUUUCUUCAAUUAAUGAUGGAGACGUCAAAGAAGAAAGAUUGCAGCUGCCUUUAGCAACACGGACACAGCCGGUGUUUCCUUGUUUACAUUCCUGAAGCUGCGGAGACUCUUACCUCCUCCCACGGGAGACACUGGCGGUCACCACACCCCUCCGACUUUCAG